GGGUGGUUAGCUCAGUCAGUUGAGCACGGCGCUACCAACGCCAAGGUUGCGGGCUCGAUUCCUGUUCGGUCCC
This 73-nucleotide transfer RNA is filed under the name Apaloderma vittatum (bar-tailed trogon). It matches the Rfam family "tRNA". From Rfam's summary of the family: Transfer RNA (tRNA) molecules are approximately 80 nucleotides in length. The record is from Rfam by way of RNAcentral. Lineage: Eukaryota; Metazoa; Chordata; Aves; Trogoniformes; Trogonidae.